CGGCGUGCUUAACACAUGCAAGUCGAACGAACCUUCGGGUUAGUGGCGGACGGGUGAGUAACGCGUGGGAAUCUGCCCUCAGGAGGGGGAUAACGGCUGGAAACGGCCGCUAAUACCCCAUAUGCCGCGAGGUGAAAUGAAUUUCGCCUGAGGAUGAGCCCGCGUCUGAUUAGCUAGUUGGUGGGGUAAAGGCCUACCAAGGCGACGAUCAGUAGCUGGUCUGAGAGGAUGAUCAGCCACACUGGGACUGAGACACGGCCCAGACUCCUACGGGAGGCAGCAGUGGGGAAUUUUCCGCAAUGGGCGAAAGCCUGACGGAGCAACGCCGCGUGAGGGAUGAAGGCCUCUGGGCUGUAAACCUCUUUUCUCAAGGAAGAAGACCUGACGGUACUUGAGGAAUAAGCCACGGCUAAUUCCGUGCCAGCAGCC
Molecule: ribosomal RNA, 429 nt
Filed under: uncultured bacterium
Lineage: Bacteria
Description: bacterial SSU rRNA
Rfam family: Bacterial small subunit ribosomal RNA
Source: RNAcentral